GACGAACGCUGGCGGCGUGCUUAACACAUGCAAGUCGAACGGAAAGGCCCUGCUUUUGUGGGGUGCUCGAGUGGCGAACGGGUGAGUAACACGUGAGUAACCUGCCCUUGACUUUGGGAUAACUUCAGGAAACUGGGGCUCAUACCGGAUAGGAGCUCCUGCUGCAUGGUGUGGGUUGGAAAGUUUCGGCGGUUGGGGAUGGACUCGCGGCUUAUCAGCUUGUUGGUGGGGUAGUGGCUUACCAAGGCUUUGACGGGUAGCCGGCCUGAGAGGGUUACCGGCCACAUUGGGACUGAGAUACGGCCCAGACGCCUACGGGAGGCAGCAGUGGGGAAUAUGGCACAAUGGGCGGAAGCCUGAUGCAGCAACGCCGCGUGCGGGAUGACGGCCUUCGGGUUGUAAACCGCUUUCGCAUGUGACGAAGCGUGAGUGACGGUAAUGGGUAAAGAAGCACCGGCUAACUACGUG
This 468-nucleotide ribosomal RNA is filed under the name uncultured bacterium. RNAcentral's name for it is "partial 16S ribosomal RNA". It matches the Rfam family "Bacterial small subunit ribosomal RNA", at positions 28 to 507 of the family's 1533-position model. The record is from RNAcentral.